This 316-nucleotide ribosomal RNA is filed under the name Promitobates ornatus. Its description in RNAcentral is "partial 12S ribosomal RNA". Lineage: Eukaryota; Metazoa; Arthropoda; Arachnida; Opiliones; Gonyleptidae. The record is from RNAcentral.
CCCUUGUAUUAAUAUUUAUAUUAGGUUAAUAAUAAGUAUUGAAAACUAAAAAUUUUGGUAGUUAAUAAUAUAUUAGAGGAGCUUGUUAGAGUUAGGAAUUUACUCCUUAAAUUUUAAUAAGUAUAUUGUUUAUUCAUUUCUGCUAUAAAAUAAGUAAUAAAGAGUUAUUUAAAAUUUCAGGUCAAGAUGUAGCAUUUAUUAUUGAUAAUUAGCUACAAUUAUAUAAUAUUGGUUAGAGUCUUGUAUAAAAAUUUUAUAAAUUGAAUUUAGUUGUAAUAGUGUUUAGAAAAAUAUUAUGAUUUAGAAUUAUUGAUGC